UUUGAUCAUGGCUCAGAUUGAACGCUGGUGGCAUAGCUUUACACAUGCAAGUCGAACGGCAGCGCGAACUUCGGUCUGGCGGCGAGUGGCGAACGGGUGAGUAAUAUAUCGGAACGUACCCAAGAGUGGGGGAUAACGUAGCGAAAGUUACGCUAAUACCGCAUACGAUCUAAGGAUGAAAGCAGGGGAUCUUCGGACCUUGUGCUCCUGGAGCGGCCGAUAUCUGAUUAGCUAGUUGGUGAGGUAAAGGCUCACCAAGGCAACGAUCAGUAGCUGGUCUGAGAGGACGACCAGCCACACUGGAACUGAGACACGGUCCAGACUCCUACGGGAGGCAGCAGUGGGGAAUUUUGGACAAUGGGGGCAACCCUGAUCCAGCAAUGCCGCGUGAGUGAAGAAGGCCUUCGGGUUGUAAAGCUCUUUUGUCAGGGAAGAAAAGGGUCUGGCUAAUAUCCAGAUCUGCUGACGGUACCUGAAGAAUAAGCACCGGCUAACUACGUGCCAGCAGCCGCGGUAAUACGUAGGGUGCAAGCGUUAAUCGGAAUUACUGGGCGUAAAGCGUGCGCAGGCGGUUUUGUAAGUCUGUCGUGAAAUCCCCGGGCUUAACCUGAGAAUGGCGAUGGAGACUGCAAGGCUAGAGUUUGCCAGAGGGGGGUAGAAUUCCACGUGUAGCAGUGAAAUGCGUAGAGAUGUGGAGGAACACCCGAUGGCGAAGGCAGCCCCCUG
RNAcentral lists this ribosomal RNA (726 nucleotides) under uncultured bacterium. Its description in RNAcentral is "bacterial SSU rRNA". It matches the Rfam family "Bacterial small subunit ribosomal RNA", at positions 12 to 731 of the family's 1533-position model. The record is from RNAcentral.